RNAcentral lists this ribosomal RNA (1202 nucleotides) under uncultured Rhizaria. RNAcentral's name for it is "SSU rRNA". It matches the Rfam family "Eukaryotic small subunit ribosomal RNA", at positions 577 to 1804 of the family's 1831-position model. The record is from RNAcentral.
CGGUAAUUCCAGCUCCAAUAGCAUAUACUAACGUUGUUGCAGUUAAAAAGCUCGUAGUUGGAUUUCUGGUCGAUGGCGGUCGGGUGGAGCCUCGUUGUUCCACUUGUCGUUCAUUGGUCAAAAUUUGUCACUAAUCUUCGUGUGUCCUUCAAUGGACUCCGGAGACAAAUGACUCGUUUACUUUGAGAAAAUUAGAGUGUUCAAAGCAGGCAAUCGCCUUGAAUAUGUUAGCAUGGAAUAAUAACAUAGGACUUAGGUUCUAUUUGUUGGUUGUUCGAGAACUUGAGUAAUGAUUGAUAAGGACGGUUGGGGGCAUCCGUAUUCCCAGGCGAGAGGUGAAAUUCUUGGACCUUGGGAAGACGAACAGAUGCGAAAGCGUUUGCCAAGGACGUUCUCUUUAAUCAAGAACGAAAGUUGGGGGAUCGAAGACGAUCAGAUACCGUCGUAGUCUCAACUAUAAACUAUGCCAGCUAGGGAUCAGUGAACGUGAUUUACGACUUCAUUGGCACCUUACGAGUAAUCAAAGCAUUCGGGUUCCGGGGGGAGUAUGGUCGCAAGGCUGAAACUUAAAGGAAUUGACGGAAGGGCACCACCAGGAGUGGAGCCUGUGGCUUAAUUUGACUCAACACGGGAAAACUUACCAGGUCCGGACAUAGUAAGGAUUGACAGAUUGAAAGCUCUUUCUUGAUUCUAUGGGUGGUGGUGCAUGGCCGUUCUUAGUUGGUGGAGUGAUUUGUCUGGUUAAUUCCGUUAACGAACGAGACCCGCGCCUGCUAAAUAGGAGCCACACCACGGUGUCGGCUCGCUUCUUAGAGGGACCAUCCUGCGUCUAGCGGAAGGAAGUUGCGGGCAAUAACAGGUCUGUGAUGCCCUUAGAUGUUCUGGGCUGCACACGGGCUACACUGGAGGGUACAACGAGCUUCUCGCUAUUCCGAAAGGUACGGCUAAUCUUUGAAUACCCUCCGUGAUUGGGAUAGACCCUUGCAAUUUUUGGUCUUCAACGAGGAAUUCCUAGUAAACGCGUGUCAACAACACGCAUUGAUUACGUCCCUGCCCUUUGCACACACCGCCCGUCGCUCCUACCGAUUGAAUGUUUCGAUGAGUAAUUCGGAGGAGGUAGCCGAAGGCGUCAGCUGGAGGCCUCAGCCAAAGUUUUGCAAAUCUGAACAUUUAGAGGAAGGAGAAGUCGUAACAAGGUAACC